Molecule: long non-coding RNA, 383 nt
Organism: Macadamia integrifolia
Lineage: Eukaryota; Viridiplantae; Streptophyta; Magnoliopsida; Proteales; Proteaceae
Exons: 2
Source: RefSeq, a predicted model, not a curated record
AUUAGAGCAAGAGAAGGAGACGGAGAAGAAGAAGAACGAUGAGGAGAGCAAGCGAGCAUGAAGGGGAUCACCUACCAAGCUAAUGCAAGAGUAACAGGUUGAAGAGGCCAACACUAGCAUGGCUGAAAAUGGUAGAAUGCCAAGAAGGGAAGAAUGGCCCAACAUGUACUUGUGCCUUCGGCCAAUAGUGUUGGAAGAAUCAGCAAGAAAAGUGGGGCAACAGAUAGACAUUAACCUUUAAUAGAGGUUGGAGAUGAUAAGGAAUUAAGCAGACUCAAGGGAGAAUAAGUGUAGCUCAACCGGCUAGAGAAUCCUGAACAGGACAGGCUGUUAUGAGGACCUAUUUUUAUGAGUCUAUUAUUAUGAUAAAAUAAGUUAAAUAA